AGUGAACGCUGGCGGUAGGCCUAACACAUGCAAGUCGAACGGCAGCACAGGAGAGCUUGCUCUCUGGGUGGCGAGUGGCGGACGGGUGAGGAAUACAUCGGAAUCUACUUUUUCGUGGGGGAUAACGUAGGGAAACUUACGCUAAUACCGCAUACGACCUACGGGUGAAAGCAGGGGAUCUUCGGACCUUGCGCGAUUGAAUGAGCCGAUGUCGGAUUAGCUAGUUGGCGGGGCAAAGGCCCACCAAGGCGACGAUCCGUAGCUGGUCUGAGAGGAUGAUCAGCCACACCGGAACUGAGACACGGUCCAGACUCCUACGGGAGGCAGCAGUGGGGAAUAUUGGACAAUGGGCGCAAGCCUGAUCCAGCCAUACCGCGUGGGUGAAGAAGGCCUUCGGGUUGUAAAGCCCUUUUGUUGGGAAGGAAAUCCAGCUGGUUAAUACCCGGUUGGGAUGACGGUACCCAAAGAAUAAGCACCGGCUAACUUCGUGCCAGCCGCCGCGGUAA
RNAcentral lists this ribosomal RNA (506 nucleotides) under uncultured bacterium. RNAcentral describes it as "partial 16S ribosomal RNA". It matches the Rfam family "Bacterial small subunit ribosomal RNA", at positions 29 to 523 of the family's 1533-position model. The record is from RNAcentral.